UAGGCAGAGGCACCAGAAGAGAAGUCAGAAGAGGAAGAUCUCAGAAAUGAAGUGCUCCAGUUCAACACCAACUGCCCAGAGUGCAAUGCCCCAGCUCAGACCAACAUGAAGCUAGUCCAAAUUCCCCACUUUAAAGAGGUUAUCAUCAUGGCCACCAACUGCGAGAAUUGUGGGCAUCGGACUAAUGAGGUGGGUGGGCUCCAUUGUUGGGGAAGAAGAUUGGCACAAGGGAAGUGUGUCUUUGUGGUUACAAGCCUGCCUUAUAGAUGUACUUCAGGAUGGAUGUGGGUGUAGUUGGUCUUUGGGGGGCUUACUGUGAGGAGGAGCCCUUGAGGGAGCUGAGAAUUAUCCUAGAGAGGAAAAGUUGGAAGUACCAUGGAUUGUAAGAUGGAUGAAAAGUUUACCUCGUGGAAGAGGCUUUGACUACUCAGAGGGUUGGGAGUUAGGCAAUUGCAGCUCUUAGUGAAAAACUUAAGAUGGCUGGAAUUGAUUUGAUAGCUGCUGUGGCAGGUUGUAACCCUCCUUCCUCAAGUAUAUCUAGCAUAAGCUGAUUAAACUUAAUUGGGAGGGGCAGUAGACAGCAAA
Cricetulus griseus (Chinese hamster) is the source of this 585-nucleotide non-coding RNA. NCBI's taxonomy places the organism in Eukaryota, Metazoa, Chordata, Mammalia, Rodentia, Cricetidae. The record is from RefSeq and is a predicted model, not a curated record.